UCUGGUGAUUUUAGCGGGAAGGAAAUACCCGUUUCCAUUCCGAACACGGAAGUCAAGCUUCCCAGCGCCGAUGAUAGUCCGCAUGGGCGAAAGUAGGUCAUUGCCAGUU
Molecule: ribosomal RNA, 109 nt
Filed under: Candidatus Buchananbacteria bacterium
Lineage: Bacteria; Candidatus Buchananiibacteriota
Source: RNAcentral